AUUGAACGCUGGCGGCAGGCCUAACACAUGCAAGUCGAACGGUAACAGGAAGAAGCUUGCUUCUUUGCUGACGAGUGGCGGACGGGUGAGUAAUGUCUGGGAUACUGCCUGAUGGAGGGGGAUAACUACUGGAAACGGUAGCUAAUACCGCAUAACGUCGCAAGACCAAAGAGGGGGACCUUCGGGCCUCUUGCCAUCGGAUGUGCCCAGAUGGGAUUAGCUAGUAGGUGGGGUAACGGCUCACCUAGGCGACGAUCCCUAGCUGGUCUGAGAGGAUGACCAGCCACACUGGAACUGAGACACGGUCCAGACUCCUACGGGAGGCAGCAGUGGGGAAUAUUGCACAAUGGGCGCAAGCCUGAUGCAGCCAUGCCGCGUGUAUGAAGAAGGCCUUCGGGUUGUAAAGUACUUUCAGCGGGGAGGAAGGGAGUAAAGUUAAUACCUUUACUCAUUGACGUUACCCGCAGAAGAAGCACCGGCUAACUCCGUG
Molecule: ribosomal RNA, 490 nt
Filed under: uncultured bacterium
Lineage: Bacteria
Description: partial 16S ribosomal RNA
Rfam family: Bacterial small subunit ribosomal RNA
Source: RNAcentral